CUGUGGUGUAGGUUGCAGGUGCAACUUGGAUCCUGAGUUGCUGUGGCUCUGACAUAGGCCAGUGGCUACAGCUCUGAUUAGACCCCUAGCCUGGGAACCUCCAUAUGCCACUGGUGCACCCCUAGAAAAGGCAAAACAAAAAAACAAAAAAAAGAAGAAGGAGUGGUCAAGAUUACUAAAUACGGUCCUGUCCACUUGGGGUCUAACUGCUCUUAUGGAUUUCCAGGCUUCCAAAUAAACCCAAUCCUAGGGGACAAAAGAUGUGAAUCCAUAUCAGAAGAGAGAGGCAGUUCUGGAUUCCUGAGGUAUUCAUUGAAGACUGAGUAAGUGUGGAGUUUCCAUCAUGGCUCAGUGGUAAUGAAUCCGACUAGUAUCCAUGAGGACCCAAAUUCGAUCUCUGCCCUCACUCAGUGGAUUAAGGAUCCAGUGUUGCUAUGAGCAGUGGUGUAAGGUUGCAGAUGCAGCUCGGAUCUUGCAUAGGCCAGCAGCUGCAGCUCUUUAUUGGACUCCUGCAUGUGCUACAGGUGCAGCUCUAAAAAGCAAAACCAAAACC
This 553-nucleotide long non-coding RNA is filed under the name Sus scrofa (pig). RNAcentral describes it as "lncRNA (ENSSSCG00040016541.1)". The record is from RNAcentral. Lineage: Eukaryota; Metazoa; Chordata; Mammalia; Artiodactyla; Suidae.